RNAcentral lists this long non-coding RNA (13851 nucleotides) under Marmota monax (woodchuck). Lineage: Eukaryota; Metazoa; Chordata; Mammalia; Rodentia; Sciuridae. The record is from RNAcentral.
CUUGGAUACUAUGGUCUCUACAAUAGUUUGAGUAAUUUUCACAAGGUAAUUUUUGUCUGUACAUUUUUACUUAUAUAUUUCUGGAGUAAUGAUGACCUUCGAUUUACUAAUAUGCUAUCCCACUGAUUUCCUUACAUUGUGAUAAUUUCAUAUCUUAUCUAUGCAAAAUAUAUUCAUCCCAGUCUAGUAAGUAAAAUAAUUUCUAUAUUGGUUUAUUUCAGGCAUGGCUUCUCAUUAUAUGCAAGAAUUUUCACAAGAACAGGGCAUAAAACAUAUAUUUCAAAAAGUAAUAAAUGGAAAUUAUGAACUUGACUAUUCACAACAAAGAAAAAUAUGGAAAAUUGUAAGUGAGAAUGAACAUCAGAAAUUAUAUUAUCAAAAGUCAGCCCUUAUUCACCACCAUAGAAUUCAUAUUGAAGAGAAGCCCUACAAAUUUAAAGACUGUGACAAAGCUUUUAAUGAAAAAUCUCACCUUAUUUGCCAUCGGAGAAUUCACACUGGAAAGAAGCCCUACCAAUGUAAAGAAUGCGGCAAAGCAUUCAUUAAAAAAACACACCUUAUUCACCACCAGAAAAUUCAUACUGGAGAGAAGCCCUACAAAUGUACAGAAUGUAGCAAAUCUUUCAUUAAAAAAAUGCACCUUAUUUAUCACAGCAGAAUUCAUACUGGUGAGAAACUCUACAAAUGUACAGAAUGUGACAAAGCUUUUAGUAAAAAAUCAAGACUUAUUCGCCACCAGCGAAUUCAUACUGGAGAGAAUCCCUACCAAUGCAAAGUAUGUGACAAAGCUUUUAAUCGAAAAAGUAGCCUUAUUCGCCACAGCAGAAUUCAUACUGGAGAGAAGCCCUACAAAUGUAAAGAAUGUGACAAAGCUUUUAAUGACAAAUCAAACCUUACUUACCACAGCAAAAUUCAUACUGGUGAGAAUCCCUACAAAUGUAAAGAAUGUGGCAAAGCUUUUAUUAAAAAAGCAUACCUUAUUCCCCACCUGAGGAUUCAUACUGGAGAGAAGCCCUACAAAUGUACAGAAUGUGACAAAGCUUUUAAUGAAAAAUCAAGCCUUGUUUGCCACAGCAGACUUCAUACUGGAGAGCAGCCCUACAAAUGUACAGAAUGUGACAAAGGUUUUAGCAAAAAAUCAAGCCUUGUUCGCCAUCAGAGAAGUCAUAGUGGAGAGAAGCCCUAUCAAUGCAAAGUAUGUGGCAAAGCUUUUAAUCGAAAAACUAGCCUUAUUUACCACAGCAGAAUUCAUACUGGAGAGAAGCCCUACAAAUGUGAAGAAUGUGACAAAGUUUAUAGUCAAAAAUCAGCCCUUAAUUACCACAGCAGAAUUCAUAUUGGAGAGGCUUACAAAUGCAAAGAAUGUGGCAAAACUUUUAAUCAUCCAUCAAACCUUACUAGACAUCAGAGAAUUCAUAUUGGAGACAAGAUCUACAAAUGAUAUACAGUAUGCCAUUUCUUCAAGGGUGGGUCAAAAUUUAUUCCACACCAGAGUAAUUACAGCAGAGAAAAAUUAUUCAAAUGAAAAAACUGUGACAAUGUAAAAAUGUCUCUAACAGUUGGUCACCCCUUACUCAGCACCUGAGAAAACAUACUAGUAGGAGAGAGUAUGAGUGGAAAAAAUUGUUUUAAAACUCAUAGCCAUUGCUCAGACAUUAUUGAACUUUGGAGAAUUCAUAGUGCUUAGCAAUCUUAAAAAGUUAAAUAAUGUUUCCAAGCCUUUAUUUAAAUUUCAAAUUUAUUGAACAUCUGAAACCUUAUACCUGUAGUGAAGGUUAAACAGCAUUUGUCCAAAAUAUGUGUUGUAUAUAAAGGCAAAAUAUUUACAAUAAAAAAACUUUGACAAGUAUAAAAGAAGUAUAGUAAAGUCCUUAUCCAUACCUCAUAACUUGAUAUAUUUGAGAGUCAGUAAAAGAGAAAAUCAUUUAAAUAUAGAAAAUGAGCAACUGGCUUUAACAUUUGCUUAAAAUUUAUUAAUUAUUAUUAGGAGAUAUGGAGAAAUAACAAAAUCAUUGUAAAUAUUAUACAUCCAGAAUGCAAAUAACUCAUCUUUGAAAGGAUACACAUUUCUUAUAAAUCAAAGAUUACUGAAUAUUUGCUCUUUUGAAUACUGGAGAAAACAAUUAUAAGAAACAAUUAUAAGAGGCUUUACAUUCAAUUUUAAUGUUUUAAACUUUAUUUCUUGUACUGUGGGUUAAAUUUAAGGAUGCUUAACCACUGAGCCGCAUUCCCAGUCUUCCCCCCUGGCCCUUUUAAAUUUUGAGGCAGGGUCUGCUAAGUUGCCUAAAACCUCAUUAAGUUGCUAAGGCUGAUUUUGAACUUGUGAAAAUUUUUCCUCAGCUUGCCAAUGUGCUUGGGUUACAGGCAUGGGCCACCAUGCCCAGUUUACAGUGCAUUUUUACCUAUAUUCACAUUAUGUAUGCAACAUGUUAAUGAAUAUAAGUGAAUGUUAAUAUGUUAACACUGUCAUAUAUUGAAUCAUGUCAUUAUCUCAAAGAUAUCACAGUUUUCCACUUGACUAAGGGAUUUAUGUAACAGACAUACUAUUGGAUAAAUAGUACUGUAACAUCUCUUAUUUAACACACUAAUCAAACUUAUUUGGGAAAUAUAAUUUGCAUAAAUCAAAUUGUUAUAGUUUUUCUGUUUGUGUUUGUGGAGAUAUUAAGACAGUUAUAAGAAUGAUAUAGAGAGAUGAAAAUGAGCCCUAGAUCUUUAUAUUUUGAAUUACAAUGUUAAUAUCUUACCUUAUAGAAUGACAGUACUCCUAAAGGCUGGGCAUCUCUGGAAAGUCAUAAAAUCUCCCAAUCAGGUGGAUUAUGAACACCCCAGAGACUAGGAUCCUACAGUGCAUAUUUUGUUUUAAGGAGUCAUUGAAGAGAGAGAUAUUCUUAGUGCUUGCAUGGGAAAUCCUGUGGUCAACAAGAAACUGGCCUAUCAUGGCUCUUGGCAUGUUCGGUAGAGAAAAAAGACUGGGGAAGACAAGCAUUCCUCAUAAACUAAAUAAGAGUAACUCCUGACUGACCUCCAAAAAUUUAGAAAAACAGCCCAGAAUAGGACCACCUGUUUAGUCUUGGACACCCCACAAGGAAAUAUGACCAGAAAAAAAAGUUUAAAAUUAUAUAAACUUUUAAAACUCCUACAAUUUAUUUUAUUAGGUAUCUUUUGAUUUUAGAGACCUCUUUUAUUCUACUUUAUAAUAUAUAAGGGCUAUUACAGAUUGUAUGAUAGAUAGUAUAUGGCAUGCUUUCCCAGUACAUCUGCACAUCUCAGUCCUUAUAUUGUAAACUAAACCUGUCCCUUUUUAGGUCUUACAGGUACAGUAGCACAUGUCUCCACACAGAAACACACAAAAUUUGAUUCAAAUGAACACCAAAAACACACAAAAAUUAUCCUAUAUUUCCUCCAUGUGUUAGCACUGUGGGUCAACAAAACACCCACAAACUUUGAUUUCAUUUAAAUUAACUUGGAUAUAAAACAUUGCACUCUAAUGAUAACUUUUCUGGGCAAGAGAACUGUGGAAAUAGUAAUAAUGUGUGUGUAAUUUUUUUAAUUUAUUAAUUUAUUUGUUUGUUCAAAUUUGUUAUCCGUAACAGCAGAAUGCAUUUCAGUUCUUAGUACACAAAUGGAGUACAAUUUUUCAUUCCUCUGGUUGUGUACCAAGUAGAGUCACAUCAUUCGUGUCUUUAUACAAGUAUCUGGGGUAAUGAUCUCCAUCUCAUUCCACCAUCUUUUCUACCCCCAUGCCCCCCCUUCCCCUCCUUCCCCUUUGCCCCAUUUGAACUUCCUCCAUUUCUCCCAUGCUCUCCCAUCCCCAUUAUGGAUCAGCAUACACUUAUCAGAGAAAACAUUUGGCCUGUGGUUUUUUUGAGAUUGGUUUACUUUACUUAGCAUGACAUUCUCCAUCCAUUUACCUUCAAAUGCCAUGGUUUUAUUCUCUUUUAAUGCUAAGUAAUAUUCCACUGUGUAUAUAUACCACAAUUUCUUUAUCCUCUCAUCUAUUGAAUGACAUCUGGGUUAGUCCCACAAUUUAGCUAUUGUGAAUUGUGCUGCUAUAAACAUUGAUGUGGCUACCUCCCUAUAGUAUGCUGUUUUUAAGUCUUUUGGGUAUAAACUAAGGAGUAUGCUAGCUGGGCCAAAUGGUGGUUUCAUUCCCAGUUUUCCAAAGAUUCUCCAUAUUGCUUUUCAUAUUGGUUGCACCAAUUUGCAGUCCCACCAGCAAUGUAUGAAUGUGCCUUUACCACCACUUCCUCACCAACACUAUCUGUUCUUUGUACUCUUAAUAUCUGCCAUUCUGACUGGAGUGAGAGAAAAUCUUAGAGUAGUUUUGAUUUUCAUCUCUCUAAUUGCUAGAGAUGUUGAACUUUUUAAAAUAUAUUUGUUAAUCAAUUGUAUAUCAUCUUUUGAGAAGUAUCUGUUCAGUUCUUUAGUCCAUUUAUUGAUUGGGUUAUUUGUUUUUUAGUGUUAAGAUUUUUACAUUCUUUAUAUAUCCUGGAUAUUAGUUCUCUAUCUGAUGUGCAAGUGGUAAGAAUCUGCUCUCAUUCUGUAAGAUUUCUGUUCACCUCACUGAUUGUUUUCUUUGCUAGAAGAAGAUUUUCAGUUUGAAUUCAUUCCAUUUAUUGAUUCUUGAUUUUAUUUCUAGUCCUUUAGGAGUCUUGUAAGGAAGUAGUGGCCUAAUCUGGCAUGAUAAAAGAUUUGGACCUACUUUUUCUUCUAUAAGACACAGGGUCUCUGGCCUAAUUCUAGGUCUUUGAUCCACUUUGAGUUGAGUUUUGUGCAUGGUAAGAGAUAGAGGUUUAAUUUCAUUUUGCUGCAUAUGGAUUUCCAGUUUUCCCAGCACUGAUUGUUGAAGAGGCUAUCUUUUCCCCAAUAUAUGUUUUUGGCACCUUUGUCUAGUGUGAGAUAACUGUAUUUAUGUGGAUUUGUCUCUGUGUCCUCUGUUCUGUACCAUUGAUCUACAAGUCUAUUUUGGUGUGAUUACAUGCUGUUUUUCUUACUACUGUACUGUAAUAUAGUUUAAGGAAUGGUAUUGUGAUGCCACCUGCCUCACUUCUUCACUUUUCUUGUUAAGGAUUUCUUUGACUAUUCUGGGUCUCUUAUUUUUCCAGAUGAAUUUCAUGAUUGCUUUUUCUAUUUCUAUAAGGAAUGUCAUUGGGAUUUUGAUUGGAAUUGCAUUAAGUUUGUAUAGUGCUUUUGGUGGUAUGGUCAUUUUGACAAUAUUAAUUCUGCCUGUUCAAGAACAAGGGAAAUCUUUCCAUGUUCUAAGGUCUUCUUUAAUUUUUUUUCUUUAGCAUUCUGUAAUUUUCAUUAUAAACAUCAUUUACCUCUUUCGUUAAAUUGAUUCCCAGGGUUUUGUUUGUUUGUUUGUUUUGAGGCUAUUAUAAAUGGGGUAGUUUUUCUAGUUUCUCUUUCAGUGGAUUUGUUACUGGUGUAUAAAAAUGCAUUUUUUAUGGAUCUUAAUUUUAUAUCCUGCUAUUUUGCUAAAUUCAUUUAUUAGUUCUAGACGUUUUCUGGUGGAAUUUUUCAAAUCCUGUUAGAAUCAUAUCAUUGGCAAAUAGUGAUAGUUUGCUUCUUUUCCUAUCCAUAUCCCUUUAAUUUCUUUCAUCUGACUAAUUCCUCUGGCUAGAGUUUCAAGAACUGUGUUAAAUAGAAGUGGUAGAAAAGGGCAUCCCUGCCUUGUUCCAGUUUUUAGAGGGAAUGCUUUCAAUCUUUCUCCAUUUAGAAUGAUGUUGGCCUUGGGCUUAGCAUAGAUAGCUUUUACAAUAUUGAGAUACGUUCUUAUUAUUUUAUUUUUUCUAGUGUUUUGAACGUGAAGCAGUGCUGUAUUUUGUUGAAUGCUUUUUCUGCAUCUAUUGAGAUGAUCAUACAAUUCUUGUCUUUAAGUCCAUUGAUGUCAUAAAUUACAUUUAUUGAUUUUCAUAUGUUGAAUCAAGCUUUAAUCCCAGGGAUGAACCCCACUUGACAGUGGUGUACUAUCUUUCUAAUAUGUUUUUGCUUUCAAUUUGCCAGAAUUGUAUUGAGAAUUUUUGCGUCUGUGUUCAUAAGAAAUAUUAAUCUGAAGUUUUCUUUCCUUGAUAUGUUUUUGCCUGGUUUCGGAAUUGGUGAUAUUGACCUCAUAGAAUGAGUUUGUAAGUGUUCUCUUUUUUUCUAUUUCAUGGAAUAAUUUGAGGGGUAUUAGUAUUAGUUCUUCUCUGAAGGUCUUGUAGAACUCAGCUGUGAAUCCAUCUAGUCUUGGGCUUUUCUUGGUUGCUAGGCUUUUGAUGGCAUCUUCUAUAUCACUGCUUGAAAUUGAUUUGUUUAACUUGUGUAUAAUGUCCUGAUUUAGUUUAUGUAAAUCAUAUGACUCUAGAAAUUUGUUGAUGUCUUCAAUAUUUUCUAUUUUACUGGAGUACAAAUUUUUAAAAUAAUUUCUAAUUAUCUUCUGGAUUUCUGUAGUGUCUGUCAUGAUAGUUUCUUUUGUAUCACAGGUUUUAGUAAUUUGAGUUUUCUCCUUCUAUUCAUUAGCAUGGCUGAGGGUUUAUUAAUUUUACUUAUUUUCUCAAAGAACCAACUUUUUAUUUUGUCAAUUUUUAAAAAUUGUUUCUUUUGUUUCAAUUUCAUUGAUUUCAACCCUGAUUUUAAUUAUCCCCUGUCUUUUAUUGCUUUGGGUGUUGUUUUGUUCCUUUUCUAGGGCUUUGAGGUGUAAUGUUAGGUGAUUUGUUUGUUGAUAUUUUUCUUCUUUUAAGGAAUAAACUUCAUGCAAUGAACUUUCCUCUUACUACUGCCUUCAUAGUGUCCCAAAGAUUUUGAUGUGUUAUAUCAUUGUUCUCAUUUACCUCUAGGAAUUUUUUAAUCUUCUCUUUGAUGUCUGCUGCAACCCAUUCUUCAUUUAAUUACAUAUUAUUUAGUCUCCAGGUGUUGGAGUAGCUUCUAUUGUUUGUUUUGUUGAUUUGUAAUUUCAUUACAUUAUGAUCUGAUAGAAUGCUGGGUACUAUCCCUAUGUUUUUGUAUUUGCUAAGAGUUGCUUUGUGGCAUAAUAUGUGGUCUGUUUUUGAGAAGGAUCUAUGUGCUAUUGAAAAGCAAGUAUAUUUACUCAUUUAUGGAUAAAAUAUUCUAUAUAUUUGUUAUGUCUAAGUUAUUAGUUGUAUUAUUGAGUUCUAUACUUUUUUUGUUUAGCUUUUGUCUUGAAGACCUAUCCAGUGGUGAAAGAGGUGUGUUAAAGUCACCCAGUAUUGUUGUGUUGUGGUCUGUUUGACUCUUGAAAUUGAGAAGAGUUUGUUUGAUGAAUGUAGAUGCUCCAUUGUUUGGGGCAUAUAUAUUUAUAAUUGUUAUGUCUUUUUGAUGUAUGGUUUCUUUAAGCAGUAUGAAAUGACCUUCUUUAUCCCUUUUGGGUAACUUUGGCUUGACAUCUACUUUAUUUGAUAUGAGGAUGGAAACCCCUGCUUGCUUAUACAGUGCAUGUGAGUGGUAUGUUUUGUCCCAACCUUUCAUCUUCAGUCUGGAUUUCUUUUCUUAUGAGAUGAGUCUCUUGAAGACAGCAUAUUGUUGGGUCUUUUUUUUAAAAAAAAAUCCAAUCUGCCAGUAUAUGUCUCUUGAUUGAUGAGUUUAGGCCAUUAACAUUCAGGGUUUUUAUUGAGACCUAGUUUGUGUUCCUGGUCAUUUUUGUAUUUUAACUUAACUUGAUUUCUCAUUUGAUUGAUUUUUUUUUCUUUAGUGUAAUACCUCCCUUUGUUGAUUUUCUUUGUUUUUAUUUCCUCCUCGUGAAAUAUUUUGCCACAGAUGUUCUGUAGUGCAGGCUCUCUAGUUGUAAAUUUUUUUAACUUUUGUAUAUCAUGGAAUGUUUUUAUUUAAUCAUCAAAUCUAAAGCUUAAUUUUAUUGGAUAUAAGAUUCUUCAUUGGCAUCCAUUUUCUUUCAGAGCUUGGUAUAUGUUGUUUCAGGAUCUUCUAGCUUUCGGGGUCUGGCUUGAAAACUCUGCAAAGAUUAUAAUUGGUUUUCCCCUAUAUGUAAUCUGAUUCCUUUGUCUUGCGACUUUUAAAAUUUUCUCCUUAUUCUGUAUGCUGGGCAUUUUCAUUAUAAUGUGACUUUAUGUAGAUCUGUUGUGAUUUUGUACAUUUGGUGUUCUUUAAGUCUCUUGUAUUUGAUUUUCCAAUUUAUUCAUCAUGUUUGGAAAAUUUUUUAGUCAGAAAUUUUUCAUUGAAUAGAUUGUUAUUUCAUUGAAUAGAUUGUUUUUGGUCUGUAAGUCUAUGCCUUUCUCUAUUCCAAUAAUUUCAAAUUUGGUCUUUUAUGAUAUCCCAUAAUUCUUGAAUGUUCUGCUUAUGUUUUUUUGCCAUUUUCACUGUGUGGUUGAGUUUAUUUUAAGGAUUAUAUAGUUUGUCUUCAUUGUCUGAAGUUCUGUCUUCUGACUGAUUUAAUCUGUUGGUGAUGCUUUCUAUUGAGUUUUUAAUUUGGUUUAUGUUUUCUUCACUUCAAGGAUUUCUGUUUGUUUUGUGGUUUGUUUUUUUUUUCAGAAUCUCUAUCGCCAUAUAAAUGUAAUGCCUUGCUUCUAUAUUGCUUAUGUAGCUCUUUAUCGAAAUGAUCUUUUAUGCCUGUAUUUGCACUCUUAUAUCAUUCUUUAAUUCAAGGAACAUUUUAAUCACAUACACCCUGAACUCCUUCUCUGACAUUUCUUCUUCUGUGCUGGCCGUUGAUUCUAAUAAUGUAGUAUCUUGGUUUGUUUGGGGUACUUUCUUCCUUUUUUUCCCAUGUUGGUCUUGUGUCUUCCCUUCUAGUACUGUGGAUCUGAGGUGUUAAAGUCUUUACCCUAUAGGUUUAUACUGUAUCUGUAGGGUUUCAGUACUUGUCCUUUAAGGGGCAGAUCAAUAUUAACAGAUCCCAAUUCAAACAAUACACAGCCUUAAACCAAAUAGCUCCUACUAAGACAUUUAUGUUUUUGUUACAAUAUACAGAAAUGGUGAGUUCACUUAUUAUCUACAAUAUAAACAGUAGGUUUGCAAAAGGGUCUAUAGGUUUUUUUAAAUUUUUUUUUUAUUUUUUUAAGUUGUAGAUAGACACAAUAUCUUUAUUUAUUUAUUUAUUUAUUUAUUUAUUUAUUUAUUAUGUGGUGCUUAGGAUCAAACCCAGUGCCUCACAUGUUCAAGGCAAACACUCUACCACUGAGCUACAACCCCAGCCCAAGGGUCUACAGUUUCUGAUGGUGGACAAAGAGAGAACUGGGGGUGGGGUGUAGGAUAAGACGGUAAGAUAGUGGGAGGUAAAGAUACAGAGGUACUAGAUUUUAGGAAGCAUGAAAGAGGAAUUGAAAGAAGUUGGCUGUUAGCAGGAGAAAAGAGAGAAAGUGAUUUGGGGAAGACAGGUAAGUGGGAAGACAAUAGAAAGAGUACCAAAAAAAAAAACCAAACAAACAAAAAUUAAGAAAUAUAAAAAAUAUAAAAAUAAGAUAUAAAAGAAUAUACAACACAACUGUAAUAUACUAUUCUUACAUCACAGUCCUCAGUAACCUAAUCCAUGAAAAGUAUUUGGGCAAAAAAAGAGAGAGAGGAAAGAAAAAAAGAAGGAAAAUCCUGAAGAAAAAAAAAAAGAUUUUUUUUUUCUGUUGGAGUUUCGUAUCUUUCCUGCUUCCCUUCAUAUCCAGUGAGAGGGGUUGUCUGCUGGUUGCUGGUAUCUUCACCCUCAGGGUGGUGAAGGUUGUCAGGGAGGGAGGGUUGGUCUUGGAGGUGGGGUAUAGCCCUUUCCAGUCCUUGUUGGAAGAUUGCACCCCAAAGGUAUCCUUUGGGUCCUGCACCUGGUCUUUUCUUCUUAUCUUGCCUAUAGAUCUCACAAUUCCUGAUCUCUACUUUAGCCUUUAAACUGUAUCUCAAUCACCCCCUCCCUUUCUACUUCUCAAUCAGGAACCUCUCUCUGGAGUUUUUGUGAGCUGCACUCUGGGGCAUGUGCACCUUUCUCAGAGGUGUUUUGAAUCAGGCAGGUCAGGACUAGUCUUUGCAAGCUAUAUACUGGCCACAUAGCUGCAAGUGCUGUGCCAGGUUAGUGGCUAAAGGGGAGAAGGGGGAGUUGGAGUACUAUAAAUACUUGAUAUUGCUUUUAGGCUCCAGCCAGUUUCCCAAGCUGAGAGUUGCCCCAACUAAAGAUGGCAACAAAAGUGUCCCAAGCUGGAGGUGUCUGCUUUCAGAGUUGGGGUGUUGGGUCGAGUUGGGCUGAGUAGUGGCAUUGGGUGGCAUGUUAGAAGUCGUAGCUCUGUGGCAUGCAGUGUUGUGGUUGGCAGGUUUCUCCAAAUGCUCUUCCGUGUCCCCAGAUGCAGGUGACUAUGGCAGUGAUUGAAGUGUCCCAAGAUGGAAAUGACCAAAUAGCCCUAUGGUGGUAGAAGGGGGUCCACGUGGGAGCAGUGGCCAGAGGUCCUUUGUACAAGUGGUGAUUGGGGGUCCCAUGCAGGAAUAGGAGCCACGGGUCCUGGGCUGACCCAGAGGCCAGGAUUCCUGUGUGGGAGCAGCUGUUGGGGUUCCUCUGAUAACUCACAGAGAAAUGUUAUUCCCACUGCUUGAAUCCCAGGUCAUGGAGUGACAAAGAAUGCAGCCUCCCUCUAGAUUCUCUCUGUGAGUAAUUCUUUAAUGUUACUUUUAUCUAUGUGGUCAUCACAGCCAUUCUCCUUCAUUCCAAUGUGUAUGGCUCCAGCUCUCAUGCUUAUCUCCACUCCAUGUCAUCUCACAUGGGAAACUUUUUUCGAUUUACAUGUAAGAAUUUUAACUAUUUAUGAGGUUCAGAAGGAAGUUUCAAUAAUAAAGUGUUAAGAUAAAUAUUAAAGAUCUUCCCUGUCCAUGUGCCUGUGUUACCUUUGUAAAUCCUUGAUGGUAUAUCUAAUGAAUGCCUCUCUCUACUCUGGUUUUGUGUCUGUCCAUAUGUUUUUUUCUUUUCCCCAUGCUUCCAACAUCAUGCCACACACCAUACUGUAUUAUAUCAAACUGGGUACAUGCUGGGUUCAGAAUUGGCUAGAGAUGCCACAAAUGCUUGUGAAUGAGAGAACACUGCAGAAUUUACCUUUGCUGAUGACAUAUUUCUAGGAAAUAGGAAACAGAUAAGUUGCUAGUAGAAAAUUUGAGGUCAUUUUCAGUAAGAGGUCACUUACGAGGAACAAAUUAAGGACUGAGGGGCUGCUCAGGGUGGAAGCCCAUGUGCCAGGCCUUCUGUGCCAUGGUAUGAGUAUAUGGCUGCCCCACGCAAAUCUUCAGAGAAUGCCAAAUUAGCUAAGAGGAGUGGAAGAGAUAGAAUUAACAGCAAACUAUGCUUCUUUGGGAAUCUUUUGCAUGAAUUCUGUGUUCACCAGUAUGUUUUUUGUGAAACUGAUGUUCUAGGUUAAGGCUGUGUGUAUUUAAACUUGUCAGAUAUUGCCUAAUUGUAGUCCAGUGAGGAAAUACAUUUCACUUUGCUGUCACUAAAAUGGACACUAUUUAUCUUCACCAAUCACAUAGGCAAAAAAAAUGACAUUGAUUACUAAAUUUUUAUCCAUUUUUGUGGGGAGGGAGCUACCAGUUCUCAGGGAGAAAGAAAGAGAGAGAGAAACUUAAUCUUAUUUUCUAGUGAUCAACAACAGUCCCACAUCCGUAUCAGCUCUUUUCUGUUUGUUUACAACCUGGAUCCUUAUUCAGGACAAAUAUGUUCUUACCUUUAUGUCUACCCACCCAUGGAGCUUUCUCAUUGUUUACAUGGUGGUACAUCUGUGUGGAUUUACCACACCUAAUCACUGCAGGGACCCUGAUAAGACUGCCUUCUGACUUCUUAUAUGCACAGUUAUGUAUCUCCUGGUAGUUAUCCUGGAGGCAACAUGUCAUUUUAUGGUCUAGACAUGAAAUGGAAUAUUUUUGACCCUAAUGAGAAAUGAAGUUCUGAUACAUGCUCAAACAAGUUGAUUCUUGAAAACAUUAUGCUAAGCAAAAGAAGCACAGGCCAAAAAACAAACACGGUCUCUUCAAAUUGAAUGAGAUUUUAGGAGUGGAUAAAUUUACAUAUAAAGAAAAUAGAAUGCUGGUUAUCAAAAACAGGGGGAAGAAAAAGAUUGGAAGUUAGUGUUAGAAACUAAACCUUACUGUAUGAUUUUAGUUUGGGGUGAUAAGCUUCUGGAGAUGGGGAGUGAUAAUGAUUUUCCAAACCAUGGAUUUACUUAAUGUUAUUUAGUUGUGUAAUUCAAUAACAUGAGAUGGGAAGGCCAUCCUGGAUGGCAUGGUGUAAUUGACAAAAUCCAAGUAAUCCCAUGGAUCUUUAAAAUGGAAGAGGAGAUAAAGAAGUCUCGUGAUGGAUCAGGCACUCUGCCAGCUGUUGCUAGUUUUGAAGGUGCAGGAAGCAUCCACUAGCCAAGAAGUGGGUGGCUUCUAGAGCCAGAAAAAGCAAGGAAGCAGGAAGUGCCCAAGGUCCUCCAUCGGGUGAUACAAUGAUUGUAUCAAUGUAAACAAGUGAUUGUGUCCCCCAGUGAUUCUAGGCCAGUGGGACCCCUGGUGGAUUCCUAACCUACAGCUCUAACAUAAUGAGAUGUGUUCUCAGCCGUGAUGUUUGUGGAAAGUCGUUGCCACAGCGAUGGAAAAUCAGCACUAGUGCUACUUUCUCUGACUUCAGCAGUGAGGAGCUCUGGGGGACACGAUGAACUCUGUAAACCCUGAAGGUCUUAGGUCUUAGGUCAGCAGAUCGAGAGACACUGUUAUAUAUUUUAAGUGCUACAAUAGGUACUUGUGCUCUAUUUUCUUUUCUGUCCCCUUUUAUGGACUUUCACUCUAUUUUCCUCACAGGAUUCCUCCAUGGAUUUUAUUUGAAUUAGAGAAAAUUGGAAGACAAUGGUAGUCAUAUAGACUGAGGUUUCCCUCUUUUCUUUUUUACAGAAUAAGUUCUGUUUCUGCCACACAAAGGGAAAGAAUAGACUUAUAAAAAAUCACAUACUAUAGAAUCUGCCUCAAGGAUAUUUUGCUGUCACCUUUUAAAACAUUAUUAAUUCAAACAGUUAUUUUUCUACAACCAUAAAAGGGGAAAUACAAUAGCUUUAAAAGGUUUUCUCCAAAAGUAGCUGGGGACUGUAUUCACCAGUUUUCAGACUUACAAGAGGUGAUAUGUUGUUGUCAUCGUAAAGUUGCUACUUAGUAAACUGACUCGAGGUGUCCUGUGAUCACUGAUUACUUUAUCAAGGCCACCAGCCCUUGAAGCACAGAGAUAAAGGAAGAAGAUUUUCAGGCUGCUGCAAUAAACUGAGGGCCAGAGGUUCUUACCAUUGGCUGAUUUGUCUUUAAAUUCAGUAAUUGGUCUGGGGAGUUUUCAACCAUUCAGCUAAUUCUACCAACAAAUUCCUCUGUAUUUCAAAGCCAAAAUCACUCAUGCAAAUCCUUAAAACACCCAAGUGUAAAGCACAGGUUGACUUCACAUCUCCCCACAGGAGUGGCCAUGUCUCUACAAGGGAGGUCUAUUGAAGGGUCUUUGGUUGUUGCUGCUGGUAAUGGUGGUGGCUUUGUUGAUAAUGUGUACAGUUUUUGUUCUGUCAUUGUUUGUAUUUAUUCUGAACUAUUUCUAGGAAAUAACUGUAGACCAAUUGCCUUAUUUUAAUUCUGGAAGGUGAAAGAACACAAGAAUUUCCUGAAGGAUUAUUUUAAGAUUUUUAUUUCAAAAUUUGUGGAAUGAUAUUUUUAAUUAAGGUUUUUAAAUAAAUUUAUUUUUGUGACUCAAUGACAUGCACAAUGUGUGUUAAACUGUGGUCUGUGGCCCACCUGUAUCAGAAUCAUCAGUGUGUUAAACUGUCUGCAUCAGAAUCACCUGGGAUACUUACAUAAUAAUGCAGAUUCUAGAUUAGAGUCCCACAACCAAUAAAGUGCUUGAUAUUACAGUCCAGGGAGUCGCUCCCACAAUCC